Molecule: small nuclear RNA, 141 nt
Filed under: Podospora anserina S mat+
Lineage: Eukaryota; Fungi; Ascomycota; Sordariomycetes; Sordariales; Podosporaceae
Rfam family: U1 spliceosomal RNA
About the family: U1 is a small nuclear RNA (snRNA) component of the spliceosome (involved in pre-mRNA splicing). Its 5' end forms complementary base pairs with the 5' splice junction, thus defining the 5' donor site of an intron. There are significant differences in sequence and secondary structure between metazoan and yeast U1 snRNAs, the latter being much longer (568 nucleotides as compared to 164 nucleotides in human).
Source: RNAcentral
AUACUUACCUUGGCUGGCCUCCGGGAGAUCAAGAAUUCCUAGAGGUAUGGCGAAGAGCCUUCAUUGCACAUCGAGGAGUUCUUCGUCAUUGAUUGUCCUACGGGAUCGUCAUGGCUGUAAUUUUUGAUGUUUUCCACACCU